GACGAACGCUGGCGGCGUGCUUAACACAUGCAAGUCGAACGCUGAGGCCCAGCUUGCUGGGUGGAUGAGUGGCGAACGGGUGAGUAACACGUGAGUAACCUGCCCCCUUCUUUGGGAUAACGCCCGGAAACGGGUGCUAAUACUGGAUAUUCACUGAUCUUCGCAUGGGGGUUGGUGGAAAGGUUUUUUCUGGUGGGGGAUGGGCUCGCGGCCUAUCAGCUUGUUGGUGGGGUGAUGGCCUACCAAGGCUUUGACGGGUAGCCGGCCUGAGAGGGUGACCGGUCACAUUGGGACUGAGAUACGGCCCAGACUCCUACGGGAGGCAGCAGUGGGGAAUAUUGCACAAUGGGCGAAAGCCUGAUGCAGCGACGCCGCGUGAGGGAUGACGGCCUUCGGGUUGUAAACCUCUUUCGCUCAUGGUCAAGCCGCAGCUUUGGGUUGUGGUGAGGGUAGUGGGUAAAGAAGCGCCGGCUAACUACGUGCCAGCAGCCGCGGUAAUACGUAGGGCGCGAGCGUUGUCCGGAAUUAUUGGGCGUAAAGGGCUUGUAGGCGGUUGGUCGCGUCUGCCGUGAAAUCCUCUGGCUUAACUGGGGGCGUGCGGUGGGUACGGGCUGACUUGAGUGCGGUAGGGGAGACUGGAACUCCUGGUGUAGCGGUGGAAUGCGCAGAUAUCAGGAAGAACACCGGUGGCGAAGGCGGGUCUCUGGGCCGUUACUGACGCUGAGGAGCGAAAGCGUGGGGAGCGAACAGG
RNAcentral lists this ribosomal RNA (751 nucleotides) under uncultured Actinomyces sp. Its description in RNAcentral is "bacterial SSU rRNA". It matches the Rfam family "Bacterial small subunit ribosomal RNA", at positions 28 to 776 of the family's 1533-position model. Lineage: Bacteria; Bacillati; Actinomycetota; Actinomycetes; Actinomycetales; Actinomycetaceae. The record is from RNAcentral.